GUGAAGGUUGUUUUUAUCUUGGUUAAUGCCUUUUCACUCCCAUUAACUGAGAAACUCCCCUUUCAGGAGUGCAACAUCAGAAUUUGAAAAGCCGUAUUUGUAGAAGACAUCGAUGCGAAUUGUUUCUUGUUUUCUUCCUUCCCCCGCCCUCAGUAGCAUGUCAGUUCUAUGAGGAUAGAAUUCAUUUUAAGUCACCCUUAUGUCCCUAAUACCUAGACAGUGUUUGGCACAGAGUUCGUGCUUAAUAAACAAUUAUUGAAGAAAGAAUUUAGAGAUUAACUAACCUCCGCUCCCUAAGGUCUGUGUCUUCACUCUGGACUGAGUAGCCAGACUCUCAGGCUGGGCUUUGGCCAUUGUUUAUGUCACAAGGAUGAGGUUUGUGGGUGUCGAAGGAAGACCCCAUUCAGAGCUAAUUUCUUGGUUCAGCUUUGCAAAUGCAGGGAGGGUGAUCAGAAAAGUCUGGGAGUGUUGGUGGACCCAUAGGCUUGUAAAGUGUUGGCCAUAUUAUGCCUCAAACCCUAAGCUCUUCAGUCAAAAUGGAAUUUGUGUCAUAGUCUCAGUGUGACAAUGCUGUUCAGUCAAUGUGAACAGCAAGCAGUGAAAAACAGACGCCAGACUACUGAAACCCGUUACCUCUGGAGGAGAUGACAGGAGCAGGACGAGCAGAAACAAAGUUGCAAACGUUUUCAUGGGGCUCAUCCCUUCCCACUAGAAUUGGUCAGCUCCAGCAUCCAUGUCUGCACUGUGUAUCUCAUUUUCCCUGGCUGUAAUAACUCAUUGGCCUAGGAUGGACACCUUACCCAAGCCAAGAAUUGAGAUAUGUGAUCUAAUCAGCCCAGUCUAAGAACUGGUUUGAACCAUAACCAUCAACCUCUCUCAGGAGAGUGAUUAACAGCCAUAUUGCACUGGGGCAGAGGCAGGGGUGGAGAGAAGAGCCCAAAAGACAUGGAGGGAGAUGUCCCAAUGGCUUUGCACUUCGCUGUUCUGGCUCUUUCCUGCAGCUUUAUUGUAUUCUUGGUCUUCAGAUUCCAUGAGAUAGCCAUAUACAUAUCCUUAUACAUAAAAGAAUAUACAUAUACGUAAAUUUGCAUGUACCUAUACAUGAACAUAUAUAUAGAAUAUGCAUAUACAUGUUGAAAUAAAUUUCUAGGCCCAAAAUGGAGCCACUCCUGCUUGGGGUGCCAUGUCAGCAAACUGAUAUUUAGAUAACUUUCAUGUCCCUGUAAAUGCUCCACUUGACCAGAAAUGCAGAAUAUCCAGUUAGCCAACCCCCAAACGUCAAGCCAUCUCUGGGCUCUAUACUUAUUUCCUUGUUCCUUCUCACCCCAAACAUGUUUGAGUGUGUGGCCCCAGCCAAUCAGAUAUUUUCUCUUUUUCUCUUCUUUGUUCUUAUUCUUUAUCCUAUAAAAGCUUCCUGCCUUCUUCCCCGUUUUGCAGUUCUCUGGACCCUUGGGAAUGGAGAUUGUCUGCUUCAGGAAGUGUUAAAGUUUGUUUAUAUCACCUAAGUUGCCUUCUUUAAUCGUUUUUAAAAUACAUAUGCAUAAAAUUCUCCACUCUCCCUUCAGCCAACUUUAACUGAAUUCUGUUAUGGCAACCAAGACUUUAGCCAAUCUAAAAAUAAAGAUCUUCAGGGAUAGCGAGCUCCAGAAUUAAUCCUAGAGGAAAACCAUUUAAUAUGAAUGCUGCCAUGCACCCUCAUCUUGUUUUGUUGCUGAGCCAGAGGCCUGAAAACUUUGAUGACCAAGGUCCUCCAUCAUCAAACACCUUCAUCCAGGAGAAAGUCUGUGGAAAACCACACGACUCAGUCAUUGCCACCGUCAAACACCGACAGAAGCAUCACAUCCUUUCUCGAGAUGUAUCCAAAGGAAAGAUGAGUUCAGGAUGUCUACAGCCCCAGCUAACCGAUCUCAAUUUCUCUUCAGGGAAAAAAACAAUAAAAAUUAUACCCUCAAGGGG
RNAcentral lists this long non-coding RNA (1956 nucleotides) under Equus caballus (horse). RNAcentral's name for it is "lncRNA (ENSECAG00000059388.1)". The record is from RNAcentral. Lineage: Eukaryota; Metazoa; Chordata; Mammalia; Perissodactyla; Equidae.